RNAcentral lists this ribosomal RNA (460 nucleotides) under uncultured bacterium. RNAcentral describes it as "partial 16S ribosomal RNA". It matches the Rfam family "Bacterial small subunit ribosomal RNA", at positions 338 to 795 of the family's 1533-position model. The record is from RNAcentral.
CCUACGGGUGACAGCAGUGAGGAAUAUUGGUCAAUGGGCGCGAGCCUGAACCAGCCAAGUAGCGUGAAGGAUGACUGCUCUACGGGUUGUAAACUUCAUUUAUAAAGGAAUAAAGUGAGGCACGUGUGCCUUUUUGUAUGUACUUUAUGAAUAAGGCUCGGCUAACUCCGUGCCAGCAGCCGCGGUAAUACGGAGGAUCCGAGCGUUAUCCAGAUUUAUUGGGUUUAAAGGGAGCGUAGAUGGGUUGUUAAGUCAGUUGUGAACGUUUGCGGCUCAACCGUAAAAUUGCAGUUGAUACUGGCAGGCUUGAGUGCAGUUGAGGUAAGCGGAAUUCGUGGUGUAGCGGUGAAAUGCGUAGAUAUCACGAAGAACUCCAGUUGCGAAGGCAGCCUACUAGACUGCCACUGACAUUGAUGCUCGAAAGUGUGGGUAUCAAACAGGAUUAGAUACCCGAGUAGUC